AUACUCACCUGACAGGGAAACUCCAGGAACAGGAAGAUGGUUUUCUUGGGAUGAAUCUCAUUGGUUAUACUCCGGGUGUGCUGUCCUCUCUAGUUCCCUAUAGUUGGGGAAAAUCUAAUAAUAGAAGCUGAGUUGGUGCUUUCCCAAGUUACUGUUUGUCAAAGGU
Molecule: small nuclear RNA, 166 nt
Filed under: Otolemur garnettii (small-eared galago)
Lineage: Eukaryota; Metazoa; Chordata; Mammalia; Primates; Galagidae
Description: U1 spliceosomal RNA (ENSOGAG00000033788.1)
Source: RNAcentral